GACGAACGCUGGCGGCGUGCCUAACACAUGCAAGUCGAACGAGGUAUAUUUUUCGGAAUAUACUUAGUGGCGGACGGGUGAGUAACGCGUGAACAAUCUGCCCUGUACAAAGGAAUAGCCUCGGGAAACCGGGAUUAAAACCGUAUAACACUUUAGUAUCGCAUGAUACAGAAGUCAAAUAUUUAUAGGUAUGGGAUGAGUUCGCGUCUGAUUAGCUAGUUGGUAAGGUAAUGGCUUACCAAGGCGACGAUCAGUAGCCGGCCUGAGAGGGUGAACGGCCACACUGGAACUGAGACACGGUCCAG
Molecule: ribosomal RNA, 305 nt
Filed under: uncultured bacterium
Lineage: Bacteria
Description: bacterial SSU rRNA
Rfam family: Bacterial small subunit ribosomal RNA
Source: RNAcentral